This 494-nucleotide ribosomal RNA is filed under the name uncultured bacterium. Its description in RNAcentral is "partial 16S ribosomal RNA". It matches the Rfam family "Bacterial small subunit ribosomal RNA", at positions 28 to 523 of the family's 1533-position model. The record is from RNAcentral.
GACGAACGCUGGCGGCGUGCUUAACACAUGCAAGUCGAGCGAUGAACCUUUCAUGAAUUUUUCGGAAUGAUUGGAAGAGGAUUAGCGGCGGACGGGUGAGUAACGCGUGAGCAACCUGCCUUAAACAACGGGAUAGCCUCGGGAAACCGGGAUUAAUACCGUAAGAGACCCCGCCUUCACAUGAAGAAGAGGUUAAAGAUUUAUCGGUUUAAGAUGGGCUCGCGUCUGAUUAGCUAGUUGGUGAGAUAAAAGCCAACCAAGGCAACGAUCAGUACCCGGCUUGAGAGAGUGAACGGUCACAUUGGAACUGAGACACGGUCCAAACUCCUACGGGAGGCAGCAGUGGGGAAUACUGCACAAUGGGGGAAACCCUGAUGCAGCGACGCCGCGUGAGCGAAGAAGGAAUUCGUUUCGUAAAGCUCUGUCCAAGGGGAAGAUAAUGACAGUACCCUUGGAGGAAGCCCCGGCUAGAUACGUGCCAGCCGCCGCAGUAA